RNAcentral lists this ribosomal RNA (1241 nucleotides) under metagenome. Its description in RNAcentral is "bacterial LSU rRNA". It matches the Rfam family "Bacterial large subunit ribosomal RNA", at positions 1564 to 2815 of the family's 2925-position model. The record is from RNAcentral.
UGAGUACGAGACGCUAAGGCGUCGAAGUAGUGGAUGUCAUACUUCCAAGAAAAGCUUGCACUGUCAUAGAUAAAAAACGCCUGUACCAUAACCGACACAGGUGGGUAGGUAGAGUAUACUAAGGGGCGCGAGAUAACUCUCUCUAAGGAACUCGGCAAAAUGACUCCGUAACUUCGGGAGAAGGAGUGCCUUAUUCGUAAGGCUGCAAUAACAAGAUCCAAGCAACUGUUUAUCAAAAACACAGGUCUCCGCUAAGUCGUAAGACGAUGUAUGGGGGCUGACGCCUGCCCAGUGCCAGAAGGUUAAAGAAGUCGGUUAGCAUUAGCGAAGCUGGUAACUGAAGCCCUGGUGAACGGCGGCCGUAACUAUAACGGUCCUAAGGUAGCGAAAUUCCUUGUCGGGUAAGUUCCGACCCGCACGAAAGGCGUAAUGAUUUGGAUACUGUCUCGGAGAGGGGCUCGGUGAAAUAGACUUGUCUGUGAAGAUGCGGACUACCUGCACCAGGACAGAAAGACCCUAUGAAGCUUUACUGUAACUUGAAAUUGAAAUUGGACUUUAUUCGCGCAGUAUAGGUGGGAGGUGUUGAUUAUAAUCUUGCGGGAUUAUUGGAGCCAUCAGUGAGAUACCACUCUUGUAAUGUUAGAUUUCUAACUUUGAAUCAUUAUCUGGUCAGAGAACAGUUUCAGGCGGGCAGUUUGACUGGGGCGGUCGCCUCCUAAAUGGUAACGGAGGCGUACAAAGGUUUCCUCUGAACGGGUAGAAAUCGUAUCUAGAGUGUAAAGGCAUAAGGAAGCUUGACUGUGAGACCUACAAGUCGAGCAGGGACGAAAGUCGGUCUUAGUGAUCUGACGGUACUGAGUGGAAAGGCCGUCACUCAACGGAUAAAAGUUACUCUAGGAUAACAGGCUGAUCUCCCCCAAGAGUUCACAUCGACGGGGAGGUUUGGCACCUCGAUGUCGGCUCAUCGCAUCCUGGGGCGGUAGUACGUCCCAAGGGUUGGGCUGUUCGCCCAUGAAAGCGGUACGCGAGCUGGGUUCAGAACGUCGUGAGACAGUUCGGUCCAUAUCCGGUGUAGGCGUUAGAAUAUUGAGAGGAGCCUUCUUUAGUACGAGAGGACCGAGAAGGACAUACCUCUGGUGUACCAGUUAUCGUGCCAACGGUAAACGCUGGGUAGCUAUGUAUGGAGUGGAUAACCGCUGAAAGCAUCUAAGUGGGAAGCCCACCUCAAGAUAAGUAUUCUC